AAGCGGAUUUCAGAGGUGAGUUAGAAGAGCAUCCUUAUGAGGAUGAUGUCUUCACUAAAUCAGUGGUGCAAUGCAGCAAGCAGGGUGGAAAGGAGUCUCCUCUGGAUAAAGGUACAGAAAGCUGCUAGACAAGGCUGUGCUGUGUGAGAAUACUGCAUGGACUCACUGAUCAGUAGUGCCUUUCUAAGUGUAAAUAGUUGUAUCCUAACGGGCAUGCUUGCUUUUAUUGUUUGAUCUGGUGUUAUCUUUUAAUUUUUAUGACAUUUCAGUUCUAUUUCACUGUCUUGCAAGCAGAUCUAAAAUCCCUGAUAUGUGGAAAGAAACUACCAGCCUAGACCUCUAGCUCUAACUUGCUAUUCUGGUUAUCAUGCCUGUCAGAAUGAAAAGAGUAAUUGUUUUGCUGCUAUAUGUUACCAUCAAAUAUUUUUGUUCUUCCAGUCCUGUGACUCAUUUAAAAAGACUGAACAUCACUUUGACGUACACAAACAGAACUAGAAAGCAGCUCAAGCCAAUGAAACAAAGCUUGUUUUGCAGGAAAACAUUAGGUAAACAUUCCUAGAAAGACAGAAGUGAAAUGCCUGGCAGGAACUACAGCAAGCAUCUGCUGCUCAGUGGUUAAAGAUUGCCCAGCAAAGUCAAGGGGACACGAGAAGAGAGCAAGGCUGAAGCUGAGGUCAUACCCGAGGAUCUUUCUACAUUCCUCCAAAGGGUGGAAAUCCCACCCUACCACACAUUCUCCUAGAUCAUAUGGGAGAUCUUCAGCUGAGUCACUGUAGAAGAGCAAUGUAGAAAUU
Molecule: long non-coding RNA, 794 nt
Filed under: Manacus vitellinus (golden-collared manakin)
Lineage: Eukaryota; Metazoa; Chordata; Aves; Passeriformes; Pipridae
Description: lncRNA (ENSMVIG00005005929.1)
Source: RNAcentral